This 704-nucleotide long non-coding RNA is filed under the name Meriones unguiculatus (Mongolian gerbil). Its description in RNAcentral is "lncRNA (ENSMUGG00000027057.1)". The record is from RNAcentral. Lineage: Eukaryota; Metazoa; Chordata; Mammalia; Rodentia; Muridae.
UUGGUAAUGAGUCUUGGAGUGGAGUGACCAAGCCCCGAGCUCCUGCGGCGGCGCAGCAGCCCGGAGCUAGGACCCUUGAUCGGGCCCGCCCCGCUUGGCCGGCUCCAGCCGGCUCCGGCGGGGUGUCCAGCGGGGCCCUGCCCCAGCAGCCUGGCUUACAUCGAAAUCUAGCCCGUAAGUUUUGGUCUUGAGACUUUGCUCCCCGGCUUCUUGGAAGGGAGCCCACCUCUGACUGGGACGUUUAAGGACUCCUUAGGUUUGUACUUUAAGUGAGUUUUGCAGUGCUUCGCUUGAAAUUACGUGAUUUCGAAGGCUCCCAGAAGCUCAAGACGUAAGUUCCUGACAAAAGACCCGCUUGCCCAUAAGGCGUUCUUGCUGGGAAACUGUGGUGAUCGGAAAACUGCUGUCCAUUCAGAGCCUUCAGCUCGGAAAUGACUAGCUGAUGCGUGGUUUGGAUGAGUGGGUCUUAACCAACGCCACUCCUCCAUGAAAGGUUCAGAGUUCAGGUCGCAACGUUAUACCUACUCAUUCUUUGGUGGGAUAUCAACCCCUGAAAGGUCUCUGAAGUCACAUACCCAGAAUCCUGCCUGUUGCCUUUUCAGAGUUUGUCCCCCAAGCCCUAAUCUUUCUGCUUCUCCUGACCUGUGAAGAACUCACCCACAUUUAUAAAGUCAAGCCAUCUUCCUGUUCUGCAUGCCUACCUU